Molecule: ribosomal RNA, 492 nt
Filed under: uncultured bacterium
Lineage: Bacteria
Description: partial 16S ribosomal RNA
Rfam family: Bacterial small subunit ribosomal RNA
Source: RNAcentral
AGUGAACGCUGGCGGUAGGCCUAACACAUGCAAGUCGAACGGCAGCACAGUAAGAGCUUGCUCUUACGGGUGGCGAGUGGCGGACGGGUGAGGAAUACAUCGGAAUCUACUUUUUCGUGGGGGCUAACGUAGGGAAACUUCCGCUAAUACCGCAUACGACCUACGGGUGAAAGCAGGGGAUCUUCGGACCUUGCGCGAUUGAAUGAGCCGAUGUCGGAUUAGCUAGUUGGCGGGGUAAAGGCCCACCAAGGCGACGAUCCGUAGCUGGUCUGAGAGGAUGAUCAGCCACACUGGAACUGAGACACGGUCCAGACUCCUACGGGAGGCAGCAGUGGGGAAUAUUGGACAAUGGGCGCAAGCCUGAUCCAGCCAUACCGCGUGGGUGAAGAAGGCCUUCGGGUUGUAAAGCCCUUUUGUUGGGAAAGAAAAGCAGCAGGUUAAUACCCCGCUGUUCUGACGGUACCCAAAGAAUAAGCACCGGCUAACUUCGUG